Molecule: long non-coding RNA, 6163 nt
Filed under: Sus scrofa (pig)
Lineage: Eukaryota; Metazoa; Chordata; Mammalia; Artiodactyla; Suidae
Description: lncRNA (ENSSSCG00050029127.1)
Source: RNAcentral
GUACUAUUUUUUUUUUUUUUUUUUUUUUUUUUUAGGGCCACAGGUGCAGCAUAUGCAAGUUUCCAUGUUAGGAGUAGAAUUGGAGCUGUAGUUGCAGGCCUAUGCCACAGGCAUAGCAACAUAGAAUCCAAGCCACGUCUGCGACUUACACCACAGCUCACCACAACGCCCUAUCCUUAACCCACUGAGUGAGGCCAGGGAUCAAACUCAAAUCCUCAGGGAUACUAGUCGGGUUUGUUACCACUGAGCCACAGUGGGAACUCCCCAUCAUGCAUAAUUUUUAACAAAAAAGAAAAACUAAAAAAUUGUUUUCCUUUUUUAUAAAAUAUACUUGUCCAAACUUCCUAGUGCAAAUUUCAAAAUCAGCAUUUAUUUACUGUAUGAUACAUACUAUUAUGUAAUCAGUAUCUCUCAGAGACAUAUUAGCUAUGGCUUGUAAAGAAUAAAUGCUUCUGUUGGGAGUGAGCAAGUUCUCUACUGCCUUACUCCUCAUCUUUAGCCCAUAUCAUCCUUGUAGCUUUUAGGCCCUGCAGCUGACUCUCAGCUCUUGCUCCACCUGGGGAUUCAAGGGACCCCUCCUCCCCCAGAAAAGAAAAUACUCUUGUUUCAAAUGCAGCUUCAUAUCCUGGCACAGUGGCCAACACUAAUAGCAUAGAAUUUUGGACACUGUAUAAACAUUCACUCUUCUACUUAAUUCCUUGGAUUCUUGUCUUCCUACUUAUAGCUAAUAACAUGCAAUGCUUAUCUAAAGCAUAUGAUUUACAUAUGUCUUUUUUUUUUUUUUUUUUUUGGUCUUUUUUGCUAUUUCUUGGGCCGCUCCCACGGCAUAUGGAGGUUCCCAGGCUAGGGGUUGAAUCGGAGCUGCAGCCACCGGCCUACACCAGAGCCACAGCAACGCGGGAUCCGAGCCGCGUCUGCAACCUACACCACAGCUCACAGCAACGCCACUGAGCAAGGGCAGGGAUCGAACCCACAACCUCAUGGUUCCUCGUUGGAUUCAUUAACCGCUGCGCUACGACGGGAACGCCUACAUAUGUCUUCUUAUUUUUAACUAAUCCAGUGGAGGAAGUACCUGUGUUAGGUUGGGAGUUUUAGCAGCAGGGCCUGAGACAGGGGCUCUUGAGAUAGUGACUUAUUGAGGAAUAUUCUCAAAGAAGGGAAGUGAGAGAAAUACGAUGGGGCGGGGACGAAAAACUAAGCAAAACAUGGUCUCCCCAGGUGGCUAGUAUCAGCUUGAUUCCACAGGAAACUCUGGAGCACACAAAGUACCACAGAGUUGUUCACAAUUUGACCACAAGGAGGUGGGUGUUAGGUAUCCCUAACUCAGUCACUGGCUACUCAUAAGGCGGGGGAUGGUCAGUGAACUCUUAGUAACCACCACUCACACCAGGCUGGGUGUGUGGUCCAACACCGUGGAUCAGAGCAGGGCAGCACAGCAUCCUCUGCAGUCCUAUUAUCCAGCCAGAAUAACAUAUUUAGUAAGUAAUAAAGAAUGCAUUUAUGUUCUCCUUAACCCCAAAUUUAACUGUUUUCUAGACCUGGGGGUUUGUUCUGAUCUCUGGUAAUUUGGCAAGCCUCAAAACUGCCUGUUCUCUCAAUGCUAGAAUCAAACCAAAAAGUCUGCUUUGUAGAAAGAAGACCAAGUACAGGGUAAGUAAGGCUGAGGGAUGAGCAGCUAUCUCUAUCUUCUACUCCUCCAUUUCUAUCUCUUCACUGGUCAUACUUUUUUUCUUUUUUUUUCUUUUUCUUUUUUCUUUUUUUUUUUUUUCUUUUUUUGCCAUUCCCACAGUAUGUGAAAGUUCCCUAACCAGGGAUCAAACCCAUGCCACAGCAGAGACCCAAGCUGCUGCAGUGACAACACCAGAUCCUUAACUUGCUGUGCCACAGGGGAACUCCUUUCUUUUUCUUUUCUGCAACUGGAUUAGGAGUAAGACCUUCAAGAUCUGAGUUGAAGCCCCAGGAAGGCCAGGGAUUCCUAAAGUUUGAGGAUUUAAGUUGUUACUGGGCAGGAAAUCACAGAAUGUGGUAGGUAAUGUCCAAAUCACUAGAGAUACUGCAUUGCCACUGGCACCGCAUGAUGAAUGUUCAAGAACAUCAAGCUGUUACUAUUUUAACAUCACUGCCUGAUUCUGCUGUAGUGCAGCUUACUGCAUCCCAGUGACCAAGCAGCAACAUCAGUCUAUUUUAGCUCGUUUCAUUUGACACAUCAUUGAAUAAUAAUGUGAGCUAAUUUUAAACAGUCUAGCAACCUGCCUUUGCAUGCAAUGUGUCCUUGCUGAGAAUAUUUUCACUGUGCACUGAAAAAUUUACUAUUCUUGAGUGUACAACUCAUUUUGAUUAAAAAUGACAUGUGAUUUUAUUUCACCUGUAUAUGUGACUAGAAGCGACCCAGUGUCUCCUUUGGAAAUACUGUGACUUUACUCCUAGAAGGGGGAUAUUGUACAGUGACUGGAGAAAUAUUGGGGAAACUAUCAGACUUCUAUUUUGUCUUGAGGUGGUUCCAAGUGACCAUUUCAUAUGGCAGGAAACUGUCUAAGAUGAGUGACUCAGGUGAAGGAGCAGUAAUUUAUUUUUUAACCUCAAUCACAUUGUGUCAUUUGGCAGUUUUCUGUUGGUAAAUCUCUCUAUUCAUCCCUGAGUCAUUUUGCCAGGGCAAAGCUGAGUGAGUCUGUCAGGACCGAGCUGUCAGGGCUAAUCACCAUGGUUAGAUUUGGUAAUACUCCCAUCUGUGCUGAAUGAAAUGUAAGAGCUCAAUUGACUCACAAAAUCCUCAAGCCUAAUGCUCCUAUACUUAUGAUGAUGCUGUGACUGGAGAGACUGGCUAAAGAACGACUUUUCCCUUCUCCUUCCUUCUGUCCUCACUCAUUCCCCCACACCCAUUUGUCUAUAUGUUAUUUAGGAGAAAUCUCUAUAUCCUUAGUCACUAUCUCAAUGUCCAUUUAGAGGGAUAAAGAAAAGAAAAGAAGUAUACUUUUGCCUCUGAAUCCAGGACUUGUCCCCAGAUGUCUUUCUUUCUACAGACAGUACCUUCCUUCAGCCACAUUUUUUCUCUGCCUUAAUUUCUUUAAAGAGGAGAUAAAUACCAAAUACCUGUCACAACCUUCUCACCUCCUCUUAGCUUCUUAUCUCACAGUAAGUGUAGCUCUACUUUUACAACUUCAUUGAAGUCACUCUUGUCCAUAUAAACCAUGUCUUUAUAAAUGCUAAAACUAAUGGACACUAGUAAGCCAGUCCUUUGACUAUUUCAUUUCUUGCAUUAUUUCAUGAUGCUAUUUAUCCCCCCUGUUAAACAAACCAAGCCAUCCAAACAGAAAGUCCUUUUCUAAUCGUGGCUUGGGACAUUCCUCUCUUAAUUGAAUUUUUAGCCACUUCCUCCUGGCUGUGGCUUCUUGAUUCAUUGGAGGCACUCCUGAGACUACAUCUUAAACAUUGAUGUUUUCCAGAGCUCCAUGCUUGUUCCUUCACUUUUCUUAUUCUCUAAAACUCCCUGGGAAAUCUGCCAACAGCUAUGGCUUCAGGUGUCACUUGUGUGAACUUUUUGCCAAGCCAUCACUAUUUAUUUACAAUCAUUUUCCUAUUCAUAACAUUUCGAGGGUUCAGAGUAUAACUGAUCAGUGAAUGCCAUCCAACAUAGAAUUAAUUCAUAUCAAAAUACUAUGCAUUUCAGUCCUAGGUACACCUUCCUACUAAUCUGAUUCAAGAAAUGUUGAUUCCUCUUUGAUAUUUGUCUUCCUAAUGAUCCUACCUAUCAUUCGGCUCAAGUUUCCAGUGCUUGACAUAAAGUCUCUUGCACCAAGCACAGCACUGGGCACAAAGUAAGUUCUCAAUAUACUUGGGUUGAAUGAAACCGAAAAGGAUGCAUAAUUGGAUAUAAAAAGAUAUUGAACCAAGAGAAAGUAAGUUACAUGAUAGCAGUGAUGGAAGCUCAAGGUGCUGGGUGAACUGAUCAGAGAAAUAAGAGCGCAGGUACUAAGUAGUUGUAUAACCUUGAAGUUGUAUAACCUGAUUCUCAUAUUCUUUAUCCAUAAUAUGAGGGGGUUGGGCAAUGUGAUCCCUAAAGUCUUUUUCAACACUAAAUAGUCAUGACUUGUCCUGUAGCAGGGAGAGGUCUCAUUGCAGACUACCUCUGGGGUGGUAGAAGCAUGAUGUUAAGAAUUCCAUGUAAGAUAUACACCCAUAUAUUUUCUUAUCUAAUACCUCAGUUGAAGGGAUGCCACAGAGAUGAGCUUGUCAGAAACUGAUAUUUCCCUUUUCAUAAAAUGUUUUCAUCAUUCCUCUUUGUAACGGAGUAGUCCCCAAAGAGUCUGGGUAUUUGUUUUGCACAAACUGCACAGAUGCAGAGGCACACAGCAGAAGCUUUAUCUGUCUGCCUUCCCAUGGAGCAGUUGAGUAAAAAGUAAAUGAUGUGUCUAAACAGCAAACUGAUUCUUUCCAAAUAUAGGCACUUAAUUACUUCUCUCGUCAUAAUACCUGGGGGAGGAAGAGUAUCUCUAGGUACUGAAAUCCAAGCUGAGGUUUCAAAUUAGACAGGUUAUUUUGGAAUUUAGCCAACUUUAGACAUCCCCAUACCUUUGAUUUUUCUAAUAAAAUGCUUUAAAUCAAAAUGAAGAGAUUGCAUUUGGAUAUAUUAUUAUGUGACAAUGGGGUAUUUUUAAGCACUACUUUAAAUAAGCAACAAAAUGAAAUUGAUGAAUACAUAUGGAAAUAAGCUUAUGAAGAUAAAUAUCCUGCAGGUGCUGCUCCCUUUUUUUAAAGUAAUUAAACAAUUCAAUGUGUUCAGUCUUGGAUAUCUGCCCUGCUAAUCUUAGUUCACCUAUAGCUUUGACUGACAGUAAUCUAAGCUCUUAACUCAUCAGUAUAGGCCUUAGCUCUGAAGAGAAACAGGAAGAAAGAAACAGGUUUGAACUUUGCUGCAGAUUCAUGACAUCAAAAAGCUAAACUCAAAGCAAGGGACACCUCUAUUCCUUACCUCCACCUCCUUGAAAUGUUUUCACUUGGAAUCAACCAUUAAUCAGCCAAACCAAAAACAACUGUUGUAUCAGCUUGUGUAGUGUUAUUAAUAAUUUCAAGAAAAAUGUUACUAUCACAAAUUUCUCAUUUUUUUUUCCUCAAGGCAAGGGGUAAAUCUAACAUAAUAAUAUGAAAUUUUGAACUGCAUUGUUUUUCAUUGUAAAUAUACAUGUUUAUUGUAGAAACAAAUACGGAAGAUAAAGAACAACAACAACAAAAAAUUCACCUGCUUUGUCUGUCAGAGUCCUGGCAGGAAACAGACACACUCUAAGGGUUUUUUUUCAUAGAAAGAAGUUUGACCAUGGGAUUAUUUACAGGAGUGUGGGCAGGGUUAAGAGAACCCGAAAGGGACAGCAAAACACCCAGAGUCUACAUCCUUGGGAAAUCGUUACAAUUCCUCUGCUUACAAGGGCACAUGGAGGGGAGAGUGUUCCUGAAACUGGACUAGAAAUAUAACCUUGGAAGAGUGGUCAUCCAAUUCUUUCUGUGUAAUGAGUUCAUACAUGGAAAUGAAAACCCCAGCCAGAGAGGAGGAGGCAGGAAAAUAAAUCACCCAACCUUGUUAUUCUGCAGUGUCAUUUCUGAGAUUGCCGCUCACUGGCUGAACCAGGAGGAGGCGACAGAGUCUGAGAGACGGAAUCUGUAGAAAACAACACCCAAGGGCCUGUCAGGCCAGAGAAAUUGGGAACAGAUGUAAAAGAGCAGAGAGGGGUUCCUAUUGUGGCUGAGUGGGUUAAGAACCUGACAUAGAGUCCAUGAGGAUGUGGGUUCAAUCCCUGGCCUUGCUCAGUGGGUUAAGGAUCUGGCGUUGCUCUGAGCUGUGGUGUAUGUGGCAAAUGUGGCUUGGAUCUGGCAUUAUUGUGGCUGUGGUAUAGGCCAGCAGCUGCAGCUCCGAUUCAGCCCUUUGCUGUGGAACUUCCACAUGUCAUGGGUGUGGCCCUAAAAAAGACAAAAAAGAAAAAGAACAGAGAGUUACCAGCACACCAAUGAUCCUGUCACUUAGACAUUUCCACUGUUAAGAUGAUGAUAUAAAUCUCUCCAGACUCACCUCCUAUAAUGCUAUAAUGCUAUAACUGCUAUAACAGCAGUUCUUUUUCCCAUUGCACUCUAUCUAAUUAAGAGUUUGUGUGUACAUGUCAGUCUUUCAAAAGGA